GAUGAACGCUGGCGGCGUGCCUAAUACAUGCAAGUCGAGCGAACAGAUAAGGAGCUUGCUCCUUUGACGUUAGCGGCGGACGGGUGAGUAACACGUGGAUAACCUACCUAUAAGACUGGGAUAACUUCGGGAAACCGGAGCUAAUACCGGAUAACAUAUUGAACCGCAUGGUUCAAUAGUGAAAGGCGGCUUUGCUGCCACUUAUAGAUGGAUCCGCGCCGUAUUAGCUAGUUGGUAAGGUAACGGCUUACCAAGGCAACGAUACGUAGCCGACCUGAGAGGGUGAUCGGCCACACUGGAACUGAGACACGGUCCAGACUCCUACGGGAGGCAGCAGUAGGGAAUCUUCCGCAAUGGGCGAAAGAAUGACGGAGCAACGCCGCGUGAGUGAUGAAGGUCUUCGGAUCGUAAAACUCUGUUAUCAGGGAAGAACAAAUGUGUAAGUAACUGUGCACAUCUUGACGGUACCUGAUCAGAAAGCCACGGCUAACUACGUG
This 497-nucleotide ribosomal RNA is filed under the name uncultured bacterium. Its description in RNAcentral is "partial 16S ribosomal RNA". It matches the Rfam family "Bacterial small subunit ribosomal RNA", at positions 28 to 507 of the family's 1533-position model. The record is from RNAcentral.